This 264-nucleotide unclassified non-coding RNA is filed under the name Hevea brasiliensis (rubber tree). The record is from RNAcentral. Lineage: Eukaryota; Viridiplantae; Streptophyta; Magnoliopsida; Malpighiales; Euphorbiaceae.
AAAACAUCCUGCCACUGUCUAAAAAGUUAUCAAACAGACAAAUCAAAUUUUCCUACCUUCUCUUUUCAUCUCUGAAUCACCCAACCACAAACCUAUCAACAAAGUUAGCAUUGUCAUAAUCCCCUCAACAUGGUAUCAGUCAGCCUUCCAAUUCAUACGAACUGAAAAAAGUAGAGCUCGACUUUGAACAACUGUCGCAUCAGGUUUUGUUCUAUACCAAUCAUUCUAAGCUUAUAGCACCCAAAAAAACAUGAUAGUUGAUUG